UUGACCUCGGAUCAGGUAGGGAUACCCGCUGAACUUAAGCAUAUCAAUAAGCGGAGGAAAAGAAACCAACCGGGAUUGCCUCAGUAACGGCGAGUGAAGCGGCAAGAGCUCAAAUUUGAAAUCUGGCCCCUCCGGGGUCCGAGUUGUAAUUUGCAGAGGAUGCUUCGGGUGCGGCCCCUGUCUAAGUGCCCUGGAACGGGCCGUCAGAGAGGGUGAGAAUCCCGUCUUGGGCAGGGUGCCCGUGCCCGUGUGAAGCUCCUUCGACGAGUCGAGUUGUUUGGGAAUGCAGCUCUAAAUGGGUGGUAAAUUUCAUCUAAAGCUAAAUACCGGCCGGAGACCGAUAGCGCACAAGUAGAGUGAUCGAAAGAUGAAAAGCACUUUGAAAAGAGAGUUAAACAGCACGUGAAAUUGUUGAAAGGGAAGCGCUUGCGACCAGACUCGGCCCCGGGGUUCAGCCAGCACUCGUGCUGGUGUACUUCCCCGGGGGCGGGCCAGCGUCGGUUUGGGCGGCCGGUCAAAGGCCCCAGGAAUGUGUCGCCCUCCGGGGCGUCUUAUAGCCUGGGGUGCAAUGCGGCCAGCCCGGACCGAGGAACGCGCU
This 598-nucleotide ribosomal RNA is filed under the name Aspergillus insuetus. Its description in RNAcentral is "eukaryotic LSU rRNA". It matches the Rfam family "Eukaryotic large subunit ribosomal RNA", at positions 1 to 601 of the family's 3401-position model. Lineage: Eukaryota; Fungi; Ascomycota; Eurotiomycetes; Eurotiales; Aspergillaceae. The record is from RNAcentral.